RNAcentral lists this long non-coding RNA (363 nucleotides) under Glycine max (soybean). Its description in RNAcentral is "long non-coding RNA (GMAX_LNC003217)". The record is from RNAcentral. Lineage: Eukaryota; Viridiplantae; Streptophyta; Magnoliopsida; Fabales; Fabaceae.
GAAAAUCGAAAUCGUAAAGGUAAAGCCAAAACAGUCAUGAAACUAAAGCAUGAACGAUUGCGAAUGAAAAAGGAAAUCGAGUAAGGUCUGAAACGCAGAGAAAAAAAAAAGCACGCCCGGUGUAGAGAGAGAAAAAGGAGAGAGACCCGAAGAGCGAGAAGCAUAACCACUGUCUCUGUUUCUUUGCUUAGUUUAGUGUCCACAAAUGCAGAGGGCGAGUGAGUUUUAUGACUUCAGAUAAAAAAGAUAAGAGACGUAAGAAGGAGAUGCUGACACUUAAUUGAGAUUGUGAGUACUAUGGAGUAGAAAGCGAAGGAGAGGGAGGUGUCGUGGAGAACAAGCAGAGAGGGCGCAAACAUUUCA